Molecule: small RNA, 517 nt
Filed under: Pongo abelii (Sumatran orangutan)
Lineage: Eukaryota; Metazoa; Chordata; Mammalia; Primates; Hominidae
Description: retained intron
Source: RNAcentral
GUGCGUACGUGCGUCGUCUCUAUGGUGGCGGCGGAUUUGGACGGACCCUACGAACCAGGAGUCAGGCGAGCCGAUCUGGGGCUGCAGGAUGUUCCGCUGGGAGCGCUCCAUUCCCCUGCGAGGCUCGGCCGCCGCCCUGUGCAACAACCUCAGUGUGCUGCAGCUGCCGGCUCGCAACCUCACGUAUUUUGGCGUGGUUCAUGGACCAAGCGCCCAGCUUCUCAGCGCUGCUCCUGAGGGUGUGCCCUUGGCCCAGCGCCAGCUCCAUGCUAAGGAGGGUGCUGGAGUGAGCCCCCCACUUAUCACUCAGGUGAGGCAUGGAGUUGGGAGUGAUGUUGCUGAACCCCGUCCUACCCCCAGCCUUUUCUCUCCAAACCUUCAGGAGCAGGCAUGUCCUAACCUCAGAAUCUCCCCUCUCCUGCCGGGCACGGUGGCUCACGCCUGUAAUCCCAACACUUUGGGAGGCCGAGACGGGCACUUGAGGCCAGGAGUUUGAGACCAGCCUGGCCAUCAUGGU